RNAcentral lists this unclassified non-coding RNA (200 nucleotides) under Tremella sp. Its description in RNAcentral is "partial internal transcribed spacer 2". Lineage: Eukaryota; Fungi; Basidiomycota; Tremellomycetes; Tremellales; Tremellaceae. The record is from RNAcentral.
UUAAGUUCAGCGGGUAGCCCUACCUGAUUUGAGGCCAGAGUGCAAAAGUAGGGGGGUUGUGAGCGGCCCACAGUCGACGCGUAACUUACGACGUCUGCGUGAAACCACUGACGCAUUUAAGGCCAGCCGGGAAAGGCAGGGCCCAAAUCCAACGCCGCCGGGUCAGAAACCCGGGGGGUUGAGUCUACAUGACACUCAAA